UAGGGAAUAUUGCUUAAUGGGCGAAAGCCUGAAGCAGCAACGCCGCGUGUGCGAUGAAGGCCUUCGGGUUGUAAAGCACUUUUUGUUGGGAAGAGGAAGGACGGUACCAGCAGAAUAAGCCUCGGCUAACUACGUGCCAGCAGCCGCGGUAAAACGUAGGAGGCGAGCGUUAUCCGGAUUUACUGGGUGUAAAGCGUGUGCAGGCGGUUUGUUAAGAUGGGUGUGAAAGCUCCUGGCUCAACUGGGAGAGGUCGCCCAUGACUGGCAGACUAGAGAGCAGUAGGGGAAGGUGGAAUUCCGGGUGUAGUGGUGAAAUGCGUAGAUAUCCGGAGGAACACCAGUGGCGAAGGCGGCCUUCUAGGCUGUAUCUGACGCUCAGACACGAAAGCUAGGGUAGCAAACGGG
This 405-nucleotide ribosomal RNA is filed under the name uncultured bacterium. RNAcentral's name for it is "bacterial SSU rRNA". It matches the Rfam family "Bacterial small subunit ribosomal RNA", at positions 355 to 776 of the family's 1533-position model. The record is from RNAcentral.